CCUCUCCUGUUGUUGCUACUGCCGCCCCUCCCCUUCCUCCAUGGCUCAUCUCUUUUUUUUCUUCUUUUUUUCGCUUCAAAUUUCCUAAAGACCCAACAUCUAACUUUGCGAUUUUGCUAAAACCUCUUCGGAAACAACCUUCAUACUAAUUUUUGACCAUGAAAAAUCUCAUUUUGAGCAAAGGUUUUCAUGGGUUUUAGUGUGAGAAAAUGAAGCUAGAGAGAGAAAGGUUCAACAAGAUAAGAAUGGUGUUUUUCUAACUCUCCUAGCAUGAUAUUUGAGUUUAAUUGUUAUAAAAAAGCUUAAAAAGUUUUGAUAUUAAUUUUGGAUAUAUUUUUGUGUGUAUGGAAAAAGAGAAAAUGUGUAAGGAUGGAUUUCAAGUUUGUUGGAGAUUGGAUUCAAGCUUUUGGAAGUGUGAUUUUGAGUAUUUUAACAUCUAAGAGGUAAGUAUCCUUGGAUAAUCUUGCUUUUCCUAUACUAAUAUGUUUAGGUAAACAGGGGAAUUGUAUAUUGAAUGAGAAUUUAGUUAUGUAAAAUGGAUACGUGGAAAUCACUUGUCUUGAAAAUGGUUAAAAUAUAUAAGUAAUAAGUUAGGGGUAAUGACCUUGCUUAUGAAAUGUUAUAUUCAGUAAGAAUGUGCUAUGAUAAAAUUUAGUUGCUAUGAAUUAAUUAAUCAAGACUAUUUGAUAUAUGUGAAUAUGUAUGAAUUAUGAUUCUUAGUAAGAAUAAAUAUAAUAGUAUGUUGCCAUAGCAAAACAAUAAUUAAUAUGCCAAUAUGGCCACCUUGUUGAGUAAAAGAAUUUGGUGUGUGAUAGUUUGUGUAUGAUUUAGAAAUGAAAGCCUAAAUUAAAGAUUGAAUAUAAAGCGCAAUAUGUGAAUAUUAAAUGGCCAUGAAAGUGAAUUUGAGAUUUAUAUCACCUAAGUGAUAAGUGAAAUAUGUAUGAAACAAUAAUGAGUGGCUUUAUGAGCCCUUGAUAUGUGACCUCGAUUAACGAGAAUUAAUAAGUGAUUCAAAGAGAAAUAUGUAAAUUGAGUAAAUAUGGAAAUAGGCACAUGUAUAUUCCUUUUAAACGAUUUUGGUGGGAUACGAUUGACAUGCAAAUAGGGAUUUAUGUGCACUUGGAGUUUUGUAUUGGAGAUCUUGAUUCCUCAGAGCUUACCACUUCAUUGCUCUCCUAUAGUGUGGGAUGAUACACUUAUGUGUAAUUUGGUUAUGUUAGAGGGUUGUGGUAUGGUACCUAGAACUUAUGUGCUUCAUGGUUAUCCAUUUCAUGUUUUGCUAGAGUUUACUAACGGGGAAACAAAUUAAAAAUCAUAAUGAGAAGUUUGGCCUUUGAAUAUAAGACAUUAAAAGAAAGUAAGAGUGUUACAUGCUAAGAACAAAAGGCCUAAAAGGUUUACAAUAACAAUGAAUAAGUGCUUAAACUACGGUUUUAAUAUAUCAUGAUAUUAAGUUCCGAUUAAUGGUAAUACAAGGAGAUUUGAAAUAAUCCAACAUAGUUAAAUAAUUAUGCAUUUAAUAAUAUGUUUACUAUGAGUCAUAAUCCAUGAAAUUAUGAUUAAACUUUAUGAUGUAGUAUGCCCCUAAUAGGGAAACAAGCAAAUGAAAAUAUGACUUACAUAAUGAACUCAUAGCCAUAAGUGGAACUCAUAUGUGAAUAAGCUAGAAAGUUAAUUGAAAAUGAUAUGGAAUUGGAUUGGAUUAUGUAUAUGAUCUUGACAAUAAUCAUGAACACUAAUUUGCAAUACAAAUUGUUAAAGAACCAAUAAUAGGUAAAUUCAGCUCCAUAAUUUGGUAAUUAGAAUUGAAUCCAUUAAAAUGGCUUAGUAUGGUGGAAAUGACUUGGAAUAGUUCUAGAUAAGGAUUUAUAUUAGGAUGAGAGAAGUAGGCUCACCCUUGAGUACUUGUUGAGCUUUUUAAGCUCACACGUGAGUGGUUUAAACAUAUACGUAAAGGAUUAGGUGAGAAGUUUAAGGUUUGAACUUGGGAGCUUCGCAUCACAUCUUACUUGAGCUUGUAAUAUAUUUAUAUUAGCAUUAUUGUAUAAAGAUUUUAGCAUGUACAUAAGGACUUAAUUUGAAUACAUUAUUUAUAGAAUCUGAUUUGAAAUUUAAGUUGUUUUGAUGUAAUUAUUCAUGUUUUAUUCCAUUAUUUGACUUGGAUGUGUUUAUGCUUUCUAUUUUGAGUUUAAAUGGGUUCUGGAAAUUGAUUUUAAUGCUUUGGACCAUGUGGAAAUGUAUGAUGAAGUUUGGACAUGUUUUGGAGUGUUUUUAGGUUGAUUUUUAGCUUUAAGGGCUUAGGGUUCGGUACCCUUACCAUAAGUAUCGAACCAGGAUAAGUCAGUAGAUAAAAUGCUACAGUACCAAUGCAAGGUACCAAUACAUAAGGAGCUAUGUACACGAUACUUGCAGCUUUGUACCUACAAAAGUGUGUUUUUAGACCUCAAAACUGAUUUGAAAGUAUAUGGCCUCUUUUAUGGGUAAGACUUGAGUCGAGACACAUUAUAAUUUUUUUUUAAAGCCCUUACGAUGUUGAAAAAUGUUUUAUGAUAUUUUUAUUUAAAAUUAUCAAAUGUUUAAUUUAUAUCUUUUGAUUGUUUUAGGCUUCCAAAACCUAGUUUUAUACCUCAAAUAUCUCCAACCACCUAUUAAAUGAUUCAAGUUGAUUUCAACACAUUUCAAGAGCUUCACUACCACCUCAAACGUGAUUUAAUGAUUUUAUAAAACUAUUUAAGAUUUGAAAUGUAACACCCCUCGCCCGACUUGAUUGUCGGGCCCGAACUGUCGAAUCUUAUAUUCAUUGCUUGAGCAACUACAUCCAAUUUAUGCAAUAAUUAAUCAUUCAUAGAUGCAAUUAAGUGUCAAUCACAUUCAAUUUAUGUUAAACAAUCAUUUAUGGGUCUUAUACAAGUUUAUAAAAGCUCUUUUAUUAACCAUUGAAUGAAAGAUAACCAAAUUGUAAAGUUUGAAAAAUUUAGGAUUGAUGUCGCGACUUAAUCACUUCCCAUGUCAUUAUAUUGUCAACACAGUAAGUUAUGUCACAACUUCAUGCCACUCGCGUAACGUCACUUACUCUCGAUCUAUGUUGCGACAAGAGAUGUUGGUCGUCGAAACAUGACCCUUAUUUUUUGGCAAAAUGUACAUUUUGGUACCCGUUCCAUAGCUUGCAACCAAAACCUUUCAACAUGAUCACCUAUAUACCACUUCCACUUGAUUCAAACCAUAUUAAAACAUGCCAAACAAUAUCAAAUAUUCAAAUUCAACCUCUUAUCAAGGCCUUCAAUAAUUACUAUUACAACAUAAUAACAAAGUCAAGAAAAUACCCAACCUUACCUAUGCCAUAUCACAUUGAAACUUAUCAUUUCACUUCAAUUACAUAUGCUUAUGAACAUUAUGCACAUCUAUGGUUUAUAAGCCUUCAGCAUGAACACCAACUAUCAAGAAUAAGCCUCAUUUUACAAGCAUACUUUAAGGUACAAUUUUUCAAAUACAUAUUCAUCUUAUUCACCUAUUAACCAAGCUAUCAUUUCUACCUCAAUCUAUGCCAUUCUGCAUGCCAUAUAUAUAGUAAUAGAUCAUCACAUCUUUAAGCAUAAAAUACAUAUAUGUCUAACACCAUAUGUGAGUCAAAACACCAAAUCAACAUAUUAUAUAUAAUGGUUAAGUCAAACUUAUCAAGUAGUAAACACAUUCACAUACUAAGAUACACACCAAGUCACUUAUAUGCAUUCCAAAACCCUAGACUCAAAAUGAUUGCAUAACUACCGAUUCAGUGAUAAUGUAAGUUUUAAUACGAUCCAGCUUGACGUGUUUCACAAGGUAACAAUCUACAAGGAAAGGAAAACAAACAAGGUAAGCAUAUUAGAUUCUUAGUAAGUUCAUAUGUUUAGUACAAGUUUUACCUUAUUCUUACCUAACAUUUUAAAGUUAUAAUAGCUUGGCAACAUGUUUCGCUAGACAUGCAAAUCAAAACACAAAUAAUGUGAGCAUUGAUUUAUAAUCAAAUAUGAGAACAUAAGUGUUUAAUGACCACCUCUGGAUGUACCAACAUCUAGAGUAAGAAUCCUGCAUAAAAGAUAUGAAGUAAGUGGUAUCUGCAAGUAUACGAGUUAGGUUGUAACAUAGUUACAAUGAAGUAAGUGAGUACUCUAAGGAUCAUACCCAAGGGAGGUGAAGAAUCCUGCAUAAAAGAUAUGAAGUAAGUGGUAUCUGUAAGUAUACGAGUUAGGUUGUAACAUAGUUACAAUGAAGUAGGUGAGUACUCUAAGGAUCAUACCCAAGGGAGGUGAGUACUAAAUUAAUCCUAAUCCAAACACAAAUAGAUCUAAUUAGUACUUUAAAUAAAUUAUAUUAUGAAUAAACAUAAGGAGAGAUUUUUGAGGUUUUUAUAACAAUAAAAUAAAUAAAGAGACUUUGAGAAACUAAUUAUGUAAACUAAAUUUGACAUAAGCAUGGGUGAUUAGCUCACUUUGGUAAUCAUAACUAACUGUCGCUUCAGGUUUCUAUUCAAUCAACUAGUCGUUACCCUAGUAGGACUUCUCGAUCUUCCACUAAACUAAUGAGUCGGUAAGAACUACUUAUCUCUUGACCUCACAGUUCAGACCGGUUCGAGGCUAAGGUGUUCAUAGAUAGACCAUACCAAUUUUGGGUUAAUUCCUACCUAAAUGACUUCCUAAGGUUGUCAAGCCUAGGGUUUAAGUUUUUCCUCUCCCAAACAGCUGAUUUGUUAAGAAAACCCUACAUAACAAUUAAUUAGUCUUACUUCCACUCACUAAUCCCCCAUAAGAGAAUUAGUUCCUCAUGGAUUUCAUAAACACAUUAGACUUGAUGCUAAAGUAAACAUGAAUAAUGGAUAAAUAGAAAAUGAAUCCUGAAUUGUAUUUGAAUGAAGUGCAGAAUCUACAAAGAUUUGAUUGAGUCUACAAAUCAGAUCUCCCGACAAAUGCAAAGAUAAAAACUAGAAAUAACAUAAAACGUAAGAAAAAGGUAAAAAUUGAAAAAUGAAAUUACGAAGAAAAUUCUAAAGUAUGAAAAGUUGUCUAUAAAAAGUGUUAAAUGAGCCUAUUUAUAGAUUUAGGGUUAUCGUCGUCCUCAACCCUAGGUCAGCUGACGCUUUUGUAUUAAACAUUCAAUUGUGUAGACCAAAACGUCCCUGAAUUGUAAGUAUUUCUCGUACAGGACCGAUGUUACGACACCCUAGUGCGUGUGUCGCAACAUUGACGGUAGUAUGCUCAGAUUCAGGUUGGCUUUAGGGGUGUGUCGCGACAUCCCUUGGUUGUGUUGUGACACUGAAGGUAAUCUUGAAAUUUUUGUAUUGUACUCCCUAUGUUGUGACUUCAAACUCCUAGUGUUGCAACACAGCAACCAGGUACGCUCACUAAUGGUCAAUUGCAUAGUCAUUAAGUAUAUUAGCUCACCCUUAGGGCUCAUUCAACCCCUAAGGUUAAUAAAAGGCUCAAAUUUAAAUUUUUAUUAAAUGUAAAUGAAACUAUGAAAACUUAAUUGAAACAUAAUAAAAGUGCUUGUAUUCAAGCUCCUCAAGUGAAAAAACUAGUUUAAUUUGCUACAUCAAAUUACGGUAGAUAAUUUAACAUGCCAAAUUACAUCACUUUAGGUAACUAAUCUCAAAAACACAUUCAAUCAAUGAAUAAUACAAUCAAAACCAUGGCAAAAGAAUUACCUCAAUCAAUUUUUCAUGUUCAAUUCAUUCAAUGACUUUCUAUUUCAAUAUCCAGUUCAUUUCAUCCUAUUUCAAUUUCUUAAUUUUAUAUAAACAACUUCGCCUGAUGAACCCUAGUAAAUGGACUCAGAUACGGAUGUAACUACACCACAUGAUAAAGAAUGAGGCGGAAGAAUACGCAAUUAGAUCGUAAAUUUUUUCUAAGUCGCGGAUUUGACUUGGGGCUCUAGACGUUAAAAAAGAAACUUGGAUUCUAACAUAACCUGAAACAAAAAUGAAUCCAAGUCAGAUAAAAAUAAAGAGAACAAUUAAAAAUAAAUAGCUAAGAUGAAUAAAAUAGAAUAAUGAAAUCAAAUAUUAGAAUAACAAAAAAGAAAAUAAAGUCGAUAGAUGGAAAAAAUAGAACGUGAUAUGUAGAAGUCCUAAGAAGCCUUAGAAACAUAAAGAAUCCACAACCCCCUUCAAGGGCUCUAAUUUCCCCUCCAAUAUAAAAACCUUGGCAAGAAAAAGUUUAAAGAUGAUCUCCACAAUCUAAAAAGAUUGUUAAAACUCUUCUAAAAGAAAUUUAAGAACAAUUCUUGAAAAGAAAAACUCAAAGAGAAUUUAAAUAAUAAUCAAUUAUUUUUUUAUUUGUGUACAAUGCAAAGGCCUGUAUACAGGUUAGCUAAAUAGAUCUAAAUAAAACUCUUAUGUAUACUAGAACUAUAAGUAAUCUAAACAAGAAGUAGUUUUAAAUAAACUUUCUUGUUGACAUAAAACUCCUCAAUAACUUAAACUACUUAAUAAUUAUUAAAAAUUUGGAAUAAUAAAGUAAUAAAAUAAUAAGAGAUGAUAUAUACAGUAUUGGGCUCAUGUAUAAUAAAAAUUAAACCCAAACCUCGAACCCAAUAUGAUUUAAACUUAAAUUAAAGGCCUGAAACUCAUAAUUCUCGUCGUAAUCACGUCCAGAAAUUCUACUCAUGCAGUCUUUAUUAAAAAAAUCAUAACUUGAGCUCCUAAACUCGAAAUCAAGUGAUUUAAAGUGAGUUUCGAAGAUAAGAGAUAGAUAUUUGAAUUCCAUGUAGACAUCUCAACCCAGAAAUGCCUGGAUCCUAUCCAAAAAGUUGUCACAAGUCUAUUAAUUUCCCAAACUUGAAAAUUGGUAGCUUUGGUGAAUGGAAUUUAAUAAAUUUCACCUCAUCCGUGUAUGUAUCACCAUACCAAUUGCUCAUCCAAGGUAAGUGUAAUUAUAUACUUGGUUACUCAUCCAAACUAAAUCAUUAUCACGACCUUUAGGUUACUUUUCUGAGCUAAACCUGGGUCACAUAAAUACUGAAAAUCUACAACAAAUGUUGGAUCUUAUUAACAUCUUUAAGAAAUCUCGUACAAGCACGUACUGUUGGGAAAUGUGCUCAUACUGUAGUAAAUAUGCAAUUAUUUUAUAUGUAUUUGAACGAUGAAUGAAUAACUAAUGUUAAUUUCACAUUUCAUUAUUAUGUCUUUUAUGUUUCUUUCUUUCAUGUUUUGCGUGCAUAGCAAAAUUGUGGCUAGCAAAUAUUAGCUAAUUGAUUGUUUAAGCUCAAGCUGAUGAUAAGUGGCACUGUAAUAAUAUUUACAUUGCGAGAAAGACAACUUACUUUAGUAGAUAAUCUAAAUGAGUCUGUAAUCCCAUAAAAGAAUCAAAAUGAACAUUUUAUUCAAAUACUUAGAAGGAUUAUUAUGUCAUCUACAAUUCUGAUUAGGGAGAUGACUAGUCUUAGAUAUUGGAGAGUUGACUCCAUAGGUAGAGACAUAAAUAUAUUCAUUGGAAGAAUGAUACAUUGGACUGGACCAAAGAUGAAUUAAUUCUGAAUCUAUUUGUGAAUUAGUUCAUGUGUGACGUUCAUGAUGUGAUUUACCUAAAUCAUGAGUUAGUCACUGACCAUGCAUAUGUAACUUAUGUGCUUUGAUAUAAGUGGAGGCUUACGCUCUAAAGAUUAUCGAUCCCAUAUCCAAUAUGUUGGGUACAUAACUUGUGUAUGGCAUGACUUUACUAGUAAUAAUGGAAUUCAUAACUUAGUUAAAGAGUUAACAAUAUCCUCUCAUUAUCAUUGUGUAAAUUGAUAAAUAUAGAACGUGCCUGAUCGGCUGUAAACGUCAAAACAAAAAUGUGCAAGCGUACACUGUCGAUGAAAGUAUAAUAGACAGAUGUGAGUCUGUUGGAUAUCGAUCCCACAGGGAUGGUUGUCUUUUGUCUAUUAAUAUCGGUGUAAUAACUAGAUAAAAACGAGAUAAAUUGUGAGUAUAGUUGUCGAAGCAAUAGCAUGAAAGUAAUAAGAUAAAGUAUACUAUGGAUAAACUAGGAUCCCUAACAUGAAUCUUCAGCGGUAUACUAAGUACUCACAAGGUAUAAAAGAUAGGUUAUUGUAGACACAAUAAAAUUUAAUGUAUAUAUUAACAAAUGCCACUCUUUUAUUUAAUCUGGGACAUAACCAUACACAUUAACCUCACCUUUCGAUAUGGCAAUUGGCACUAUUAAGAAUAAGUGGACUAAAUUCCUUUUACUCAACUUCCGCAGAAAUGUUUAUUAGCUCGAACUGUCAUUGCACCUUCUAGUGUUAGUGACUGUAAUAACACUUCCGUGUUUAGAACAUUCAAACCCCCAAGAUUAAAUAAUAAAAAUAAGAUUUAAUAAGAUAACAUUUAAGAAAGCAUUUAUUGUACUUCCAUACUAUAAAAAACAUAGAGUAAUCACUAGCGUUUUCAAAGAAAUGAGAAAGAAUCAAAUGGAGAAUAGUUCUUAAGCUACUUGAUUGAAUCUCUCCAUUUCCCCUUGUUCUACACUUAGAUCCUCUCGUCAGGAGUGGAUCUGCAUCAGCCUUCACGUUGGCUUACCCAAAGGAGGCUCAAGCUGCCAUGGCCGCAAGCUUCAAACUAGGGUAAGAGAAUGGUGGUCCAGCAAAAAAUUCUUUCUUCAUUCUUCUCACGUUAUCCUUUUAUGUUUUCCUUAACAGUACAGGUGUUCUUCCCUCAGAAUUCUUCUGUCCUUGUUCGUACAGAAUAGUUAUAUCAGACUAGACAGCUCGCGCAUGGUUGGUUCUUAUUAGACAGCUGUCAACUGCGGUGACAAUUUUGGACGCAUCUAGAAUUAACUCAUGCAACGACAUUGUGGACAUUUGUCGACUACAGCGACAAUUCCAAACGCAAUCUGGAAUUAACUCAUGCAGCGACAUUAAUGCAAUAAGAUAGUAAAAUUAAGGAUAAAAUAGGCUAGGAUUCAUUGAGUUAUAAAAUGAAAUUUAUUAAACUAAACAUGCUAAAAUGUAUUCUAAAGGUAACUAAAUGGGAACAAUUUAACCAAUAAGUAGUGGGAAAAUUAAGUUUUUUUUAGUGCUAUCACACACCCUCAAACUUGAAUUUUUACUUGUCAUCAAGUAAAGCUGAAGCCAUCAAGGCAGCAAAACAUUACUAAGUAAGACAAAUGAAUAUUCUAGUGACUUGAAUCACCUAAAUAAAUGAGUCACAUUCAGAUGAAAGAAUAUUGCACCGACAAUACAUAAGCAUGAAUGAAUAAGAUUGCAGCUUCAUUAAUGCCAACACCAUGUUUCAAACCUCAAAUUUUAUCUGCCAAAACAACAUUUAUUGUACAAUAAUAUUUUUUUUUUUAGAAUAAGGGAUAUCAUUACAUUAUUGUACCCUUGUUCCUGAGAAGUAACGAUGGAGUGCAACAAACCCCUAGGAAGUACGUAAUUGCGCUGACACACACUCAUACAGCGAUGACCUUAGGCUAGAUUCAUUUUCUAACACUUGUAUUGGAGUGUUCCCUUUUUAACAUUCCAAAAUACACUCACUUUGGAGUGUCUCUUAUUUAUAAUUAUAUAUAUAGUUGAAAAAGGCAGUUUCAUUCAAUAUUCAAGGAAUGCUACUAGUCAUUUAUUACUAAUGCAACUUAAAUCAUCCAUCAAAGUAUUAAAGAUACAACAUUCAGUCAAAUUUAUCCAAAUCAUUCGUUGAUAAUUCAUAUGAUCCAAGAAUUAAGCAUCGAACAUAACAAAAAUUUUUGAAUAAUUGUGCAUAAACCUUGCGUGCUUCAAAAAGAACAAUUAAAAUGUGGAUGUAUUUCCAAAUAGCAUAUAUGUUAACAAUUAAAAUGUGGAUGUAUUUCCAAAUCCCAUAUAUGUUCCCCAAAACUUAAAGAUUGCAUUGUCCCUAAUGCACUGACAUGUUUAUGUAAUGACAAUGAAAAUACAAUAAUAAUGUAUGCUUAUCAAAAUAAAACCUACAACUACAUGCAAUGCAUGACUACUAUAACUAAAGCUUAAAACAAACUAACUCAGUUAUCUGCAGCUGUCGAUGUAGUUGCAUGGUGUUUCUUUCUCCUCCUUUUCUCCUCCUCCUUCUUUUAUUUUUUAUCAUUAGAGUGCUUCUUUUUCUUUUCUUUAAGCUUUUUGCAGUCUGCGGAUUACUUUUCAGUUCCUGGCUCUACCCAAGCAUCUUCGGCUACUUUUUGUUAGGAGAGGCCACUUGGAGAGGUCUAGUACAGACCACUAUUACCUAUGAAUUACAUUGCUCCUCACUAGUGACCUCAGCAACAUCCGCUGGUUUCACUCCAGUUUGCUCCAAAUUAUCAAUAUUUGCACCCCUAAAUCCCGGUGCAGUGACAACCUUUUCAAUAAAAUCUUCUUCUUCUUUUUUAUCAUUUUUAACAACUUUUUCUUCUUUAGCAACAACUUAUGCUUCAACAACUUCUUCUUCUGCAGCAUCAAUUUCCUUCUCAACAACAGUGUCCUCUUGAUCAGUAAAAAUAUCAUCCUCGAACAAGCUAUCAAAAUUGUGCAGACAUUCCUCAAUGUCCUUGGAUUUUUCAUCUUUGUCAUUAUCAGAGACUUGUACGAGGGGAGGAGAUGCCAUCGACCAGUCUUAGUCUUUGAAGUCAUCAUUUGCAGAUGAAUGCUCAUAGUUUCAAAUGAUUGGUAGAAACACUGGGAAGUUCAGUGUUGGGGAUAGGCUCAAUUGGCUUAAUGUGGCUACAAUGGAACUGUUCCAAGCUUUAGUAUAAGCAUAAAACAAAAUCUGAGAGUUCUCUAUGUCCUCAAUUGUAGCAACAAGUUUGAUUUGCCUAAUGUUGAUAGAAGUACCCAUUUUCUCAACAUCUUUCGUCUUACACUAUAAAGAUGUCUCUGUAUGCAGGGUUGUUCCUUUACUAUCGGCUUUGGCUUUGUCCUUCUUUGUCUUGCUAGUUCCUACCACUUUCAGUAUUAGUGUUUCUAUGCCAUGAGUCAUCCUCUCGAUAGAGGCUUCAUUAAUUGGACCCUUAUUAUCUAUGAUUUCUUCACCUUCCUGAGGGACAAUGCCUUUCUACCGACAUAGUGACAUUACCAAUUAUAGGAAAACCAAAAUGUCGGUCUAUCUGGUGGCACAUUCAACAAUUUCACCAUGGAGAAUUGCGCCUACAUCAAUUUUUCUACCCUUGAUAAUGGAAUGUAUCAGACACAUUUUAUCAAGGUUGACGGUGGUGCUGUGGGUAGACAACAGUAGUCUGCAGUUAAAAAAGUGAAACCAUAUUUUGCUAUGGAAUGUUAAGAAGCGCUGGUGUAUUGUAAAAUUCUUUAGAUGCAACCUUGUUCACUGUACUCUUUUAAUAUACAAAUCCUGUAUGAGUAGGUCUAUUUUCUCGUCCAUCAUUUUCGUAAAAAAAUUGGAGUGUUCGUCGACAUCGACCAUAAGGUUAUACAACUCAUUGAUUCUGUUGGCAUUCCAUGGGAUUAGACCUUAAUGGACAAAAAUAAAUUCUAAAUCUUGGUCAUAGAGGUUGGCAUAAAAUUCACAUACUAGGGAAGGGGAAUAGCUUCUAGGGUGUAUGCAGAAAUUUCUCUAUUCCAGUUUAGAAAUGGUUCAAUGAAUUUGUUUGCCCAACUCCUGUUGUUGUGACAGGGAAAUACCCUGUUCAGGGUGGAAAUUUUGACGCAAUAUGUUCUCUUGAAAUCGUCCCCUUGCUGCUUUAUUCAAAAAGAUUACUGGUUCCUUUUUCUGUACUUGUGUAACAAACUAAAUCUUGGAAACCUUGUUAAAAUUAUUUUGUGUGUUUGCGAUGUGAAACUAUGUUUGGCUUAGUGAUUUAGUGCUCUGUGGGUAUUUGGAAAGUUGUGGGUUCAAGCUUCGACUUGAGAAAAAUUUGUGCUUUUAUUUAAAUUAAUCUCUGCCUCCUAUUAGUUGACUUUUAUAUAGUUGAGGGGAGAUCAUGUCGUAAAUGGCCUGUUGGUCUAGUGGUAAAUGAUGGGUUCCUAUGCCAAGUGUCUGGAGUUCGAGUCUAGUUGCACGCAAGUGAGUUCCUUUUUGCAAAUGGCUAUGUGGGAGGUUGGAUGGCAUUGAGACUCUACUGGUGGGACGGUAGAGGAGUUGUUCAAGAAAUUUGAAUCGGGCAAGUGAGGGAAAAGAAGAGAUAUUUAUAGAGAGAUAAGGAGAGUGGAUAAGGAGAGGGGGGAGAGGUAGUAGUGGCCAAAAGUAGGAGUCUUCUUGGCACCAAUUCGGUCAUAGUAAGAAAAGUGUCGAAAUUGGUUUUGGGGUUUUGCUCUCAUUUCGUCAGUUUUUUUAAGUCUUUCUUUGUAUUUUGAAGUCUCGACUGAAUUGACCUUUGGCAUAUUCUUCUCCUUUCUUCUUUGAACCCUAAUUGAAUACCUUUUUUUCUCUUUUUCCUCUCAGUCAUUCCUCCCAUUGACCGAGCAUUCCCUUGUCUCACUUAUAAGCUUUUGCCGAAACAUUCUUGUUCUUCCUCCCUCUUUUUGGUUCAUUUUUCUUCUAAGUUUCUCUAUUUUGUUAGCCGAAUACCCUGAGUGUGGGACUCUUCCUUCUCUUCUUUCUUUUCUGCCGUUUCUUGCUGAUGUGCUGUCAAAAUUUCAAGGUUUUUGGGUAAGUGUUUGCGGUUUGCUUCCCUAGCUGAAUCUCAUAUUUUUAAAGAUUCGGCUUCUGUACCUCUUAAGCCGAGCGAUUGAUUUCUCUCCUUCCUACCAUGGGGGGAUAUUUAGCUAACACUCUUUCCAUGUUUAGUACAUUUUUUGUUAGGGGCCUGAUCUUUGUAACUAAGGAGUGAGGCCGAAUACUCUUUCCUUGCAAGUGGUACCUUCUCUUUUGGUAAGUACCUUAACUUCUAAAUACAACUAUGUGGAGUUGUAUAGUUUGAUUAAUUAGGUAAUUAUUUCGUGUGAAGGUUGAAACCUUGGGAGGAAUGCAUGGAUUUUGGGAGCAAGAGGGGUUUUACAAUAGCUUGUUUGGUGAGUAGUGAUGGUUCGGCUAAAGUUUCUGCAAUGCUAUAGUCUUUGGAUUAACUGCAAAUAUAACUAAUGGCGGGGUUGUGGUUGAUCAUAGGUGCUUGGAUCACGGAAGUGUUGAGGCUACAGUUUCAUUACAGGUGUGUGACACUAUCGUUAGAUGUGUGGUAGCAAAAGUCGAAAAGUGAGCUGUCGGCACCACACGGGCGUAUGGUCACCCGUGUGGCAGGCCUAGUUACUAAAUGAGGCCGUGUUAUCCAAGAAAUGGCCAUGGAUGACUCCGUGGGCCGAAACUGUAUUAGGCUAUCCUAGGUCGAAUUGGGCAAUGUGGACCCAAUGGGCCUGUGUGCCCGACACAAAAAAAUUGGACAAAAUGUGGUAAAUUGUGGGUCAGGUUGUGUGAACUACACGACUGAGGCCAUUUUGGGGCUAUGUGGGCCAUACGAGAGUGGGGGCCCAGAUAGGCCCGUAAUAUAGGCUAAAGGCCCAUUAGCACAGAUUGACUGAUAAGGUUACAUGGGUCACUCAAGACGACUGUGGACCUACAAUAGGGUUAGUAAGUACACUUAGACCCCAUAUUGAUGAAAUGACCAUUAUACCCCUAUGAGGUAAAUUGACUGAAAUACCCCUGUAUUAUGUAUGACUGUUUUGAGCAUGACAUUUUUUCAUAAACGUAUGAUAUUAUGUUGCAUUACAUGGGGUGGGAUAUAUGGUUUGGAGGAAGUGUACUGAAAGGCUAUAAGCCUAUUACUGGAAGCUCUGCUGCAAAUACUGCUUAGUAUCAAAUACUGUAAGUUUUGGUGUGUAGGGCUGGGUGGGUCGACUUUGUCCCCACAUGGUGUAUAGGGCUGGUACGGAGUUGGUGUGUAGCAGAUGGAUUGGGUAGGAUUCUUUGUGUGCAUACUAUACUGAUAUGGGCUAAGGCCCAGACUAUUUUUAUCACUGAAAUUGGCUAAGGCCUAAAUUGCUACUGUUACUAAAAAAGGGGUUAAUGCUCCUAACUAAAACUAAAAGGGCGUAGGCCCAGUUUGUAUUACUCUGAUUAUUUGUUAUUUUGGGUUUUCACACAUUGAGUUUUCGUAAAGUCACCCAUCUGUCAUCUGUGCAGGAAAUCCCCAAGCUUAGACGGAUCAAGGCGACGGAGGACUCAGAGGUGGCCACUUGACCUAGUUAUUUCUUUUCAUAUAAUUGAGAUUUUAUAUUGGGUAUGUAAUAAGGCCACUUUAAUUUUUACUUAAUUUGGGAGAUUUAAUUAUUCUAUUUUUGUAUUACACCUGUUAGUAAUAGUAGGCUAAUUUUCGUGAAAAUAUAAACAAAUUUUUUUCUGGAAACAUUACGCUCACGCAACACGUUUUAAAAGCUUCCGUAACAAAUACGAUUUAAAAGUUAGUAAUAAACUAGUUUAAUUAAUAUUUUACCUAAACAACUUAAGUUUUCACAAUGAGCUAGGCCUCCUAACCUUUCUUUUACAAAUCUAAAGAAGUGUCUAUCAAGAUUGGAUCUUUCAUUAAUAAACAUUUUGGAAAUCACUCCAAUCUGACAUCACAGAUUCAACCAUAAUGUCUAGGCCGAGUUUAGGGUGUUACAUUUAGUGGUAUCAGAGUUAGGUUGCAAAACUCGACUAUGGAUUUGUGUUUUUCAAAAAUGUGAAAAUUUCAACAAUGUUGUUUUAAAAUAGUUUAAACAGAUUAUUUGGGUUUAUGUUUUACUGAAGGAGUGGCAAACCGAGUCUCCGCCCUGAUUCUGUAAGUUUUCUGAUUGUUUGUUCUAGAAUGAUAAUGUUAUUACUAAGACUAUUUUAGGUAGUAAAACUGUACUGAAACUCUUACUUAACUACGAACCGUAGUAAGACUGUGGACUGCGAAAAUAGACUCUGAAAUAAUAUUGUUCAUAAAAUAUUUGUAAUAAACAACUAGAACAAUAAAACUGAAUGGCAUAAAAUUUUUAAUACAAAUAAAAGCUCGAGUGGAUAAUAAGCACUAGAGGUAUUUGUGGUAAAGGCUGCGACAGAGGCCAUGGAAGUGCUCGGACUGGAUCAUCGUCUUCUGGACACCAGCCUAAUGAGGAAGUUAGAGACAGCUUUACUUAUGGCUGAGACAAGGUCUCAAAAUUGAGUAGCUAGGGACGACGCACUGUCCUAAGCAAUGUUGAGGAUUCUAGAAAGGGUCACUAGGCCUAGUACUAGUAAUGUGGGUCGUGGGUCGGUUACGAAACAACUCAGGUCUAAUGGGGCAGAGAUUUUCAACAGUAUUGCUGGAGUUGCCCCUAAUGUCACUGAAUAUUGGAUUAAGGCUACAGAGAGAAUCAUGGAUGACCUUGACUGCACUCCCGAGAAAAUAUUAAAAGGUGCAGUAUCACUGUUGAGGGAUGAGGCCUACUAUUGGUGGCUUACUAUUAAAGAGCGCACUCAAGCUGAUCGAUUGACCUGGGAGUUUUUCAAAACUACUUUUCAGGCCAAGUAUGUGGGUGCUAGCUAUGUAGAUGCUAGUAGAAGGGAAUUUUUGAACUUAACUCAAGGAGAUAGGAUAGUGGCUGAAUAUGAUGUCAAAUUCUUGCGAUUGAGCCGCUAUGCAUGUGGAAUGGUGGCAACAAAAUACGAGCGGCGUGUCCGGUUUGAGGAUGGCCUCAGAGAUGGUCUAAGGGUUCUAAUAGCUCCUUAGAGAGUACGGGAUUUUGUAGCACUGGUUGACAAGGUAAAAAAUUAUAGAGGGUGUGACGCGCGCCGAGCACCGGAAUAGAGAGAAAGGUAGAAGUAAGAGGGAUGUUGAGCCCUCAAAUUCUUUUCAGAGAUUUAAGAAAAAGCCUAGAACUGAUGGGCCAAUCAGAGUUAGAACCCCUACUGCUGCUACUAGUGGAUCGUAGUUUUGUGCUGAUUAUGGGAAACGCCAUUAGGGUGAAUGUUGGAGGAAGUUUAGUGCAUGUCUGAGAUGCGAAUCGUUGGAGCACCGGGUUAAGGAUUGUUUGGAGUUUUGAUCAGAUGCAAGCUACUGGUAUGGGUACUGGUCAGCCACCGAGAGGUGUUCAGCAGCCACCAAAAGGUUCUCGUCAGGCCAGGGGUGGAAAUGGUGCUGGACAUGGACGCGGAGCACCAGACAGAGGUGUUGGUCAUACUGAGGCGAGGCAGUCGGCACUAGUUUAUGCUACACGUCACCGUGAGGAUGGAGAUGCUCCAGAUGUUGUAAUGGGUAUAUUCUUUAUCCAUAAAAUACCUUAUACUGUAUUGAUAGAUUAGGAUCUACCCAUUCCUAUGUUGCCUGUAAUGUUACUAAGAACUUGGGGAUUUUGGUUGAGAAUACUUCGAGUGGAAUUACUGUAUUGAGUCCGCUGGGGCAGUCCGUUCAGAUAAAUAAGGUGUUUAGAAAUGUUCCCUUGGAGAUACAAGGAGUUAUUUUUCUAGCCGAUCUUUUGGAGCUACUUUUCGGAUAAUUUGAUCUAAUAUUGGGCAUGGAUUGGUUAGUUAAACAUCGGAUGAGCUUGGAUUGUACCACUGAGUGGGUUGUACUAAGAACUAAGGCAGAUAAGGAGGUAGUGGUAAUUAGGGAACGACGGAAUUAUUUGAGUAAUUUAAUUUCAACACCAAAGGCCGAGAAGUUGGUUCGUAAGGGUUGUGAAGAGUACUUGGCCUAUGUUAGUGUUUUAGAUGCUGGGGACUCUUUGGUAGGGGAUAUCAGGACUGUUAAGGAUUUUCUAGAUGUCUUCCCUGAAGAGUUACCGGGGUUAUCUCCAGAGCGUGAAGUAGAGUUUGGGAUUGAGCUCCUUCCUGGUACAAGUCCGGUUUCCAUCGCCCCUUACAGAAUGGCACCGCUGAAGGAGCUGGUGGAGUUUGAUGCCCAGAUUCAAGAGUUAUUAGACUGUGGGUUUAUCCGACCUAGUGUGUCUCCAUGGGGAGCUCCAGUUUUAUUUGUGAAAAAGAAUGACGGAUCCAUUCGUAUGUGCAUCAACUACAGACAAUUGAAUAAGCUGACCAUUAAGAAUAAAUAUCCUCUACUGAGGUUUAAUGAUUUGUUCGACCAACUACAAGGAGCAUCGAUUUUCUCUAAACUAGAUCUCUGAUCGGGGUAUCACCAAUUGAAAGUUAAAGAUGCCGAUGUGCACAAGAUGGCGUUUAGGACUUUUUAUGGUCAUAACGAGUUCUUGGUAAUGCCUUUUGGACUGACCAAUGCACUGGCAGCUUUUAUAGACCUGAUGAACAGAGUGUUUCAACCUUAUCUAGACCUGUUCAUUAUGGUAUUCAUCGAUGACAUACUGGUGUACUCAAGGGGUGAUGAUGAACAUGAUGAAAAUCUCCGGGUAGUUCUGCAAAUCUUGAGAGAGAAGCAACUGUACGCCAAAUUCAGCAAGUGUGAAUUUUGGUUACGUGAGGUAACGUUUCUUGGUCAUGUGGUAUCUACAGAGCAGAUUAGGUUUGAUCCUCAAAAAAUUGAGGCUGUUGUAGAUUGGAAGCAGCCUAAGACUCUGUCAGAAAUUCGCAGUUUUCUGGGACUAGCUGGGUACUAUCGAAGGUUUGUGGAGGGGUUCUCACUGAUUUCCAUGCCCUUAACUAAGUUGCUAUGCAAGGACGUGCCAUUUAUCUAGACGGAUGUGCAACAUAAGAGCUUUGUGAAACUCAAGAAAGUUUUGACAGAGGCCCCUAUCUUGAUUCAGCUAGAGUCUGAAAAGGAAUUUACUAUCUAUAGCAAUGCAUCACACGUCGGUUUAGGUUGUGUGUUGAUGCAAUAGGGUAAGGUGGUAGCUUAUGCAUCUCGCCAGCUUAAGACUCACAAAGUGAAUUAUCCAACAUACGACUUGGAGUUGGCCACAGUGGUAUUCGCACUAAAAGUUUGGAGGCAUUACUUGUACGGUGAGAAGUGUACCAUUUACACGGAUCAUAAGAGCCUCAAGUAUCUGCUCACUCAGAAGGAGUUAAAUCUUAGGCAACUUAGAUCGAUUGAGCUGCUUAAGGACUAUGACUGCUCUAUUGAAUACCACCCUGGUAAAGCUAAUGUAGUGGCCAACACGCUGAGUCGUAGGGCUAUAAUUGAUCUAAGAGCAAUGUUUGCUCGUCUUAACUUAUUUGAUGAUGGUAGUUUGUUGGCUGAGCUCCAAGUCAAACUAGUGUGGAUCGAGCAGAUUAAGAGUAAAAACUGAAAGAUGAGUCUUUGGGUUAUCGGUUUCAUCAAAUUGAGAAUUGUAAUACUGUGGAUUUUCGACUGAACAGUAAAGGGUACUAUGUUUCUGAGAAAGAAUUUGUGUACCUAAGGAUACUGAUUUGAGGCAGAUUUUAUUGCGAGAGAUGUAUAGUAGCCCUUAUGCUAUGCACCCAGGUGAAAAUAAGAUGUACAGAGUUCUCCGUGAGACAUAUUUGUGGCCGGGUCUUAAGCUUGAGAUUUCCAAUUUUGUGGGGAAGUGUCUGACUUGCCAACAGGUUAAAGCUGAUCAUCAGUUGCCUUCUGGGUUGUUUCAACCAGUUAAGAUUUUGCUGUGGAAAUGGGAAAGAGUAACUAUGGACUUUGUGAGUGGGCUACCUCUACACCUUCUAAGAAAGAUUCAAUGUGGGUCAUCGUGGAUCAGUUGACCAAAACUACUCAUUUUAUACCAGUUCACAUAGAUUAUUCGUUGCAGAAAUUGACUAAGCUGUAUGUAUCCGAGAUAGUGAGACUGCAUGAGGUACCAAUUUCCAUAAUAUCUAACAGAAAUCCUCGCUCCAUGUUUCGGUUCUGGAAGAAGUUACAUGAAGCUUUGGGUACUUAGUUAGACUUCAGUACUGCGUUCCACCCUCAGACAGAUGGUCAGUUAGAGAGGGUGAUUCAGAUACUGGAGGACAUGUUAAGGAGUUGUGUGAUUGACUUUUGGGGCAGUUGGGAGGAUAACUUGCGGUUAGCAGAAUUUGCGUAUAAUAAUAGCUACCAAUCCAGCAUACAGAUGGCACCCUAUGAGGCAUUAUAUAGUCGUAGGUGCCAUACUCCUUCGUGUUGGACUGAGCUGGGUGAGCGGCAUGUUUUGGGUCAUGAGCUAGUAUAUGAUACUAAAGAUAAUGUUAGUUUAAUUUGAGACUGACUAAAGGCAGCAUCAGACAGACAGAAGUCUUAUGCGAAUCUGAAGCGUAAGGAAAUUGAGUAUUCUGUAGAAGAUUUUAUCUUUCUGAAGGUCUCGCCAUGGAAGAAGGUACUCAGAUUUGGGCAUAAGGGAAAGCUGAGUUCAAGGUUUAUUGGGUCUUACCGUAUUUUGAGACGAGUAGCACCAGUUGCCUACCAGUUAGAGCUACCUCCGAAAUUGGAGCGGAUUCAUGUUGUGUUCCAAUCUCUAUGCUGAGACGUUACUGUUCUGAUCCUGUGCACGUGGUAUCGGUUGAGGAGAUUGAUAUUAGACCAGACUUAACUUUCGAGGAGGAACCAGUUCAGAUUUUUGAUUGAGAGGUGAAAGUUUUGACAUGGAAGUCAAUUCCAUUAGUGAAAGUUCUUUGACAGAAUCACAGUUCUGAGGAGGCUACGUGGGAACUCAAGGAGGCGAUGCGACAAUAAUACCCUCAACUAUUCUGACUAGGCAAAUUUUGAGGCCGAAAUUUUCUUUAAAGAGGGUAGAAUUGUAAUGCCCCAAAUCCCAAAAACCUGUUAAAAUUAUUUUAUGUUUUUGUAAUGUGAAAAUAUGUCUGGCUUAGUGAUUUAGUGCUCUGUGGGUAUCUGGGAAGUCGUGGGCUCAAGCUUCGGCUUGAGAAAAAUUUAUGCUUUUAUUUGAAUUAACCCCUAUCUCCUAUUAGUUGACUUUUAUAUAGUUGAGGGGUAGUGGUAAGUGGCGGGUUCCUAUGCCAAAGGAUUGGAGUUCGAGUCUAGUUGCAUGCAUGUGAGUUCCUUUUUGCAAAUGGCUGUGUGGGAGGUUGGAUGGCAUUGGGACUCUAGUGGUGGGACGGUAGAGGAGUUGUUGAGGGAAUUUGAAUAGGUUAAGUGAGGGAAAAGAUGAGAGAUUUAUGGAGAGAUAAUGGGAGUGGAUCAAGGAGAGGAGGGAGAGGUAGUAGUGGCUAAAAAUAGGAGUCUUCUAGGUACCAAUUUGGUCAUAGGAAACGAAGUGCCAAAAUUGGUUUUGUGGUUUUGGUCUUCUUUCGUCAAUUUUUCUAAGUCUUUCUUUGCAUUUUGAAGUUUCGACUGAAUUGAACUUUGGUAUAUUCUUUUCCUUUCUUCUUUGAACCCUAACUGAAUACCUUUCUUUUCUAUUUUGCCUCUCAGUCGUUCUCUCCUUGACCGAGCAU
This 20128-nucleotide long non-coding RNA is filed under the name Gossypium barbadense (sea-island cotton). RNAcentral's name for it is "long non-coding RNA (GBAR_LNC005627)". The record is from RNAcentral. Lineage: Eukaryota; Viridiplantae; Streptophyta; Magnoliopsida; Malvales; Malvaceae.